ACUAUAAGAAACACCUUUCUUGCAUGUUUUUCUUCAUAAAAAACUUGAUUCCAUAUGGCAGUCCUCAAACCUGGCCUCGCAUUUGUAUAACCUCUUGAGUCAUUCAGAGCUGCAGUACACUUACACAUUUGUUAUUGCAAGUGUGCCAGUUAAUGAUAUUUUGCAGAAUGCUGAAGUUCUGUUAUUCCCACUUCAGGUCAGAGAGAUCAAAGUUCUGGUGUUAGAAGCACUUUUAGAUAAAACAUGGUGCAUUCCACGCAUGUCCAGUCUCUAAAGAUAUGAAUGGAGGAAUAGGGUAAAAGGCUGAUAGCUCCUUGGAAAAGAUAGUCAGAAUGUAAUUUUCAAAAGUACUGUGCAUUGUAGUUGUUUUCAUUCUUCAGUUUACCUUUAUUUUUGUUUUCUACUUGUUAUAAAGCCUUUUUCACUUCUUUUUUGGUAUGGAUUAUGUGAACAUUUGAUGCCUGCUGUGUGAAGAUUUUGUCACUAAAACAAUUGCGUCUCAGCAUUUCAGUUGUUCAGGCAGAGCCCUAUAAAUGAUUAUAGCUUUUGGGACUUCCAACUGAUGUUAUUUUAACAUAUGGUAACAGUAUUUGAUAGUUUCCUCUGGGAAUCCCACCCACUGUGUUAGCUGCAAACAGCCAUAUGAAGAAUGCUGUUCUCAUGUUUUAAACACUUGUAAUGCUGUCCCACCCAGUGUAACCUCAAUUUGAGAAUGACUUCUAAUCCAUGAAGUAAGUAGUGGAGCUGUAUGUUCCUGUCUCUCUGAUUUAAAGGUGUUUCUUCCAAUUAAGUUAGUACAGAGCUUGCUCAAUUUUACUCUUAAUAAAAAUACAAUAAUGUAAUUAUUAAAAAAAAAAAAGACAAGCGUUCUAUCUGUUACAUUAUAGAAAUGCACCACUGAGUUGCCUUGAAAGGGGGGUAUAGAAUUCUCUUAGUUCAAUCGAAUAAAGUACGGAGUAUGACAGGAUACAUUUUCCUAAGUGAAACAGAAAAUUGGCUUACGUUAGGUAAAACAUUAAUGGUGGUUUCAUUAAAAUGAAAUCUUAAUGCUGCAGUUCUAUCUACACUGUAAUUUAAGACUAGAAAUCUUUCUAGAAAUUCAGCCCAUCCUGCUGUAAUGCAGGACUGUUUUAGAACAGAAGCAAUUUCAUCAUGGCAUGUGCACGGUUUGCAGAAUUCAGAAGUGUCCCAGGUUAUCCCAUCAUGAUAAUGUAAGAAUCUUUUUAUUUGAUGAGAAUCUUUGGAUGAUUUCUUCAGUAAUGCUUUUCCCCCUCAUUUCCAUACUGCCACUGCUUGCAUUUUGUACCAGAUGCUGUUCUGUCAUGGAAGCAACUGCUUCUUGAUUUAUUUAUUUAUUGUGCCUGAAAACUUGUCUUCCUUUUCUGAGUGUAUUAGUUGGUCCAGUGAAAUCUAUUUCCAAUCUCUUCAAAUCUCAUUAUCCUUUUCAGGUUGGAUAUUAGGAAAAAUGUCUUCUCAGAAAGAGUAGUGUGGCAUUGGAACAGGCUGCCCAGGGAGCUGGUGGAGUCACCAUCUCUGGAGGUGUUCAAGAAAUGCAUAAAUGUGGCACUAUCUAUGAUAGUGGUGACAUGUGGUGACAUAGAGAGACAUGGCCAGGGUGGUGAUGGGCUGACGGUUGGACUAAAUGAGCUUGGAGGUCAUUGUCAACCUUAAUGAUUCUAUGGUCCUUUGGUUCUGCUUCUUCCAUGAUGCAGUUUAAUGGUUGAGUGGAUUUAAAUGGAGGCCAGGAGGGGUAAUGCUUUUUCCUUCUCUGCCCUUGGCAUUACUCUCCCACUGCUGCUCUCAGUGCCGAAGCAGUUUGCUUUGGAGUCAGCUAAACAGCUGUGCUGGAGAAGCAGACCCAGAGGAAACACACAGGUGAGAAGAGAAGGAGCAUCUAUUUGGCUGGCAGCCAUGUCACGGAGCUGCUUGACUGGAUGCCUGCCUGGCCUUGCAAGGUGCCAGCUUCUUGUCUUUACAAAUCCAAAGCAAUCGAGUUGUUGAGGAACAAUGUGGAUUACAAAGGCCUUAAAAGGUGAAGAUAAAGCUUCCACAGUCAAGGGAGUCAGGGCAGUGAAGUUUCCAGGGGAGAUUAAAUGAUUCAGAAAGCAGACUCUCUUGAGGAUGCCUUGCAACAUAUGUUUUGUGGAAAAAAAAUUGCUCCCCUGAAGCUCCCUUGCAAUCUGUAGACCUCCCCAGACUAAACCUAAAGGCCUUCCUUUAAAUAAAGAAGGAGAGCAGGCUCUGAAGGCCAUCAAGGCCUCCAUGCCUCCAUGAAAAGCUUCCUUGUGCCAGUGUGAGAGGGAUGGAGCUGUGGGUGCCAGCAGGAGCACUGCUGCCAGCUGGUUUGGCUUUCCUGUACUCCACAGCUGAGGGAAACCAGCUAAGUUACUGGGGUGUCUGAUACAUACAGAGUCUCAUGUGGUUUUUUGGGCUCUAUCCCAGAUUGCUUUCUGCCUGUCCUGGUGCAGGAAGGUUUCCAGGUGAAACACUUGAUGGAAAAUUCCUGCUAAGGAAGAAAAAGUAGAGGCUUAACCUUUGUAACAGCCUUAAUGGUGGGCUGGGGUCAAACCUGGUAAAGCUGAGGCUUGGAGUGGUGCCAUCCCACUGAGCCUGUGCUGUGUGAGGGACACACGGGUGCUUCUGCUGCUGUCAGGGCACAGGGUGGUGAUGUGGAGAUCCUCACUGCGACUGAAUCACUUCACCACCCACUGAAAUACUCUGCAGAUAAAGUUGCGUUGUUUAAGCAGAAAGCUCAUGCUGAAAUGAUGUAAUCUUGAAUGUAUAUAGGGGGGAGCACGCAAGAAUUAUUACCUUAAUUAUUAGUGACAGCUUUGGCUGAAUUUGAAAGCGUAUCCUGAAGGCGAAAAGCAAUCCUUGGGUUUACAGGAUUUCUACAUCAGCUCCAGGACUUAUAGGCCUCCUCCGUCAUUGUUUUCCUUCAUUUUUCAUCUUCUAAUUUGGUAACGAUCCUUUCCCGUUGCUAGUGCUCCCGUGCUCUGUUUAUUGGUUGCUCUUCUUAAAAAAAAAUAUCCAGGCUUAGGUUUUCGUGGGAAAAAGAUGUGGAGUAGGGAAACAGAGGAAAGCCUUUGGGGUGAUUUGUGGCAUUUAAUAACGUUUAAUAUUUAAAGAACAUUUAAUAACAAACAAGGCCAACAGCUAUUUUUAAAAGGGUUCAAUUGGCUUAUUUGUAUCAGAAGUAGUGGGGGCCAAAAAAGCUCUUACCCGCUUUGUUGUGAGGCUCAGGGUAUUCUGCCCGUGGUAUUUAUCCCCCUGCUGCGUGCUUUAUCUUCUGCUGGCCUCCGUGGGGGAUUUUAUAACACACUGCUUAUUUCACUCUAUUGCUCUGAGAUGUCAGCACGGUUUUGCACGUGGAAUGUUUUAUAAAUAAAUCAUCAGUUUUCACAAAUCAUUUGUUCUGUGAAGUGGGCAGAGUGUUUUAAAUGGCGUAUAAAUUCAGAGUCGCGAACUUUGAAAUGUGGGUUUGUAGUUUUGACCUGCUGUAGUUAGAAUUUGUGUCCAGGCAGGUACAAAGAGGACACACAGCAGGAGCCUGGCUGUCCAGCAGCUGUAACAGAGACCCAGGAGAUACCAGGAGGUGAGGAGCUGCUGAUGAAUCUAGCUGUCUGGCUGUAUCUGCUGGCCUCUGAAGGCCAUUCCUGCCCCUGUAGGGCUUGGCACUUAAUCUCACUUAAAGCACCUCUGCACCAAUAGUUGUCAGCGUGGCAGGCUCUGGCCACCUCAUAGCAUCCAUCUGGGGGCCUACUGUGACAUUCCUAACUGGGGAAUUUUAAUAGUUCUCUCUGUGUUGCAUUAACACAUAAUUGAGGCUUCACUGGUUGUUUUUGGCAAAGACCCUUUCGGGCUCAGCACUGCAUGGAAAAGGCAUCCGGGCAAUUGCCUCUCUUUUUAAGAGCGGGAUGUACAGGAGCAGUCACACACCUCAUUCCACACUCAAAAUAGCAUAGCUCUUUCUAUGGAAAAGUAAAUUCCCAGUUCCUGAGGGAAGAAACACUGUUGAAUAGCACUGUGUGGACUUCAGUACUGUGUACACUGCAGUGAGGGUGAGCUUCAAGGGACAGUAACAAGGUGGGGUUGUACUCACAGGGCUCCCUACUGAGAACUGGGCUGUUGCAAUUGGUAACCCCAGUGAAAUUCUCCCGCAGACAUUUGCAUCCCGAGCACGCUGUAGACUCCCUUAAACCAUUAUUACAUUUUUUCCCUUCUGCACCUCCCUGCUUCACACCCCUUGUCAGGACCGUUUCUGUUCUGUGCUGGCAAAGUGCUGCCAGCUGCUGAUUGCUACUUCAGGGCAAGGGCAGAUGAUUUUACAUUUCAUAACAAACGUUUCGUAAGAUUUCCUAAACUAAGUUGCUUUUUUUCCUCAGCUCUCUUUACCAAUUGUACAAUUUCCUUUAUUUUCUUUUUUUUUCCACGUUCGCAGCCUCAUAUUUCAGACUAGACUUAAACUCUGAAGCUCCCAGACUUUGGUGUGUGUGUAUUUUCAACAUGCAUUUGUCCCAGCAGUAGCUAAAUUUGCUAGAUGACAUGGGCAGAGUUUUGCAACGCCUCCUGCCCCAGCCCAGACGCACUCUCUCCGGGUGAGGGACUUUGCUGCUCCGUGUUUACAUUUUGUCUCUCACAACGGCAGCUCGUCCUGGCGGAGCCCUUUGGUACUACUGUGCUAUAAAUAAUCUGGCUCUGGUGUACCUGGUAAAUGUUUUUAAGAUUAGUCCGUAAGUGCUUCCAGUGUAAGUGCUUGGGUAUUAUGUUACAGUUAUGUUAUAAUGGCACGGUAUAGUGGAUGCUGUAAGAAAAAUCUUGGUCUAACGUGCUUGGAAAAUUCUUUAAAUGUACCAGUAGGACUUUAUUUUCUGAGAUACAAAGUUUGAGUUCUUCCCUUCAAAGUAGCGUUGUUUCCUUCCAAGCUCUUGGCCUCUUCACGCCACCUCCAGUUAGAUACAGCUCUGAUGCAUGAAGGUUUUUUGUUGUUCCCUCAUUUUCUUUUGACAGUAACUCCAAAAAAAGGCUUUUUUUCAGAGUAGGAAAGUUGUUUAAAUCAUCUUUUCAUUCAGUGUUGUGGUCUCUCUCUUCGUUUCAGCGAUGAGGGACUUGGCAGGGCUGGGCUUCUUUUUUGAUUUGGAAGAUAGCUUUGGUUUGGAACAUCCCAAAAUAAACGAUGUCCAAAAGUUUCCUCUUUGUCUGCUGUGAUUUCAAAGCAAUUUUCAUGGCUCCGUUCAGGACUGCCUAAUAGAAGAAAAUGGAGCAAUAAUUACUGCCCACAGAGAUUCUAACACAGCAGUUAUUUAACUAGGAACUGACAAACAUCUCUUAGAAGUGUUCCCGCUCCCUGAAGAACUGCGGACUUUGAGCCAGGCCCUUCUGCUGGAACUGAGCGCACAGCUCCUGCUGCACUCAGGCAUGCAGAGCAUGGGAAGAGCCGGUGCUGUGUUCGCUGGCUGCUCCUCAGAGCAUCGGCAUUGCCCCACGUGUGCCCCAGGUGGCACGGCUGCUGCACACCAUGCCGUGUGCUCCUUCCAUGCACUCCUAACGAUAUAAAUGAGCCUGUUUGUCCCACUGCAAAACCCACAGCGCUCACUAGGUUCAGACCUCAGGCUUAAACUACUGACUGGAGUAGCUGUAAGUACAUCUGGUGGUCAUUGGCUUUACUCAGGCCAGCUUUUCUUGAAACAAGCAUGGAAUUGUGAAGCAGUACAAAGCAAAGUGAUGCAGGCAGCACAGAGGUCUGUGCACGUGCUUUGUCCAAUGCCACUGCCUGUAUAGCA
Gallus gallus (chicken) is the source of this 5783-nucleotide long non-coding RNA. The record is from Ensembl. Lineage: Eukaryota; Metazoa; Chordata; Aves; Galliformes; Phasianidae.